RNAcentral lists this long non-coding RNA (2322 nucleotides) under Neodiprion pinetum (white pine sawfly). Its description in RNAcentral is "uncharacterized LOC124218622, transcript variant X2". Lineage: Eukaryota; Metazoa; Arthropoda; Insecta; Hymenoptera; Diprionidae. The record is from RNAcentral.
GUUACACCUGAUAUUUGUACAGAAGUUUCGAUAUCUACGACCCGUCUAGGCAUAUCUACGCAUCGGCUAUAUUGACAACUAUUCCACCACAGUUUCAACGAACACAGAGAAUCGGAAUUGGAACUACGUUUCACUUUGCCUGAUUUGCACCUUCGUCAAUCGAUACCAUACACCUCGCCACCCUUGCGGUAAUCGGCAUUAGCGUAGACCGUGCCGUUUACACGUACAAUUGCACACACGACACUUCCGCGGUCGCGGUACCUUGAUGUCUCGUGUCCCAUGGCAUGCAGGCCGUCGACCAGAGACUUGGGAACACCGUACUCGUAGGAUACCUCCAUAGGAAUGAGCUGGUGAUGGAUCCGCGCCGCGUCAACUGCCUCUUUAAUCGUCUCUUUGAUCCACAGGUGCCUCGCGAUCACCUGCACCGUCAAGAACAUCUGACUCAACGUUUACAUCCCAAUGACAACCUCAUGCGAUACCCUAGAGGAAGUUUCCCGCGUAUCUGAAUAAGAAGUUCGGACUCACGUAUGCAACCGCUGUGGUGAUUUUUGUCCCGCCUGCAGCUCCCACCACCAUUCGAACGUCGCCAUGCGCGUCGACGAUUAUGCUAGGCGACAUCGAAGAGAGCGGCCUUUUACCAGGCUCGAUUCGGUUGUUGUGGCUAGCCGGAAGCCCGAAGUAGCUUCUUCGCGACGACACACCAAAAUCGUCCAUGCUGCUGCUUGUCAGGAUCCCGGUUCGCUCACUUACGACACCGCUACCAAAACUGGAGAAACGGCAAUGACCAGAUUAGGUGAACAAUGCUGGGGUGUUCGGUGGAAAUUCAAUUGCUCUACUAAGAGUUGCGUUGGUUGACGCUGCUCGUCACGGACACGGCGUCACCGUCAGGGGCUAAUAUUGCUACGUGAGCAGUACCAUGAUCUCCGUUGUUACCCGGCGCGUGUUCCCCAUAAUGACGAGGAUCGUUCGAAGUUCUGUGAUCAUUUAUUCGUCGUCUCACCUCGUCAGCAAAAUUUCUGGAGUUGAUAAGUCAACGUAGGUGGGGUCUGCAAGUUCGGUACGCAAAGCGUACGCGUACUUAAAAGCCUCGAUGAUACGGUGAUGGGUCGUCAAAGUCGCCUGUGGGGUCGCCAUGCUUGAGGAACUGAAAUCGUAUCCAUCGAGGACGUUGAGAAUGAAGGCGAGGAUCGAACCGCUUCCGGGUGGUCCAAUAGUGUAAAGCGUUUCUCCAGUAGAAAGCCUCGUCGUUAUCGGUGAUAUCCAUUUGGCCCUGAUACGUAAAUCCUGAGGAUCAGCUAUGGCCUCGCUGUUCAUGCCGAGCGAGUCGUAUUGGACUUUGGUCAGAUUGUAGCCGGCCUCGCAGAUCUUGAUACUUGGCUCGAAGAGCUCGGCCCAAGGCAGUCGGCCGAAGCGUUGAUGGACGGUCCAGUAUCCAGCCAAUUCUCCGGGAACGGGAAUAGCCAGAGGACCUGGAUGUUACGGACGCAAGAAAAAUUCAAGGAUAGUUUCCAGGACAAGCAAAAUUCAAGGACAUUUCCAGGACCAUUGGACACCACGUUCCAUAAUCGUCACCAAGCAUUCGUCAAACAAUGCGGAGUAAGCGCGUACCAACUUUGACUUACCAAUCUGCGAUGCAAGAGCCGGGUGACCAUUGUAAGUGUCGGAAUCGGCAGCACGAGGUGCGCAUUCACGGGCGUCGAGGGUUGCUGCUUGUUGGCUCGACCUUUGAUAUAUUGUCAUCAGGAAACCACCACCGAACCCCAUGCUCUGCAUGUUUAUCAGACCGUUGCAGAUCAUCGCUGCUAUUGCUGCGUCCACUGCCGAUCCGUUUCGUUUUAGAAUCGACCUAUAGACAAAGAAUUUUGACUAAAAGAAUCUGAGAACUUUAGAUGUAUCCAUAUGCAUGUAUAAAAUAUACAUAUAAAGUAUGGAAUUAGAUGAAACGGAAAUGAUAUUUGAUCCUUGAACAUGCUACCUCAUCUUUCGUCUUGAGAACAAAAUUGCAAAUACAAGUAUAACGAUGAUAUACUUCUAAUGCAUUCUUCUAACGAAUGCUCACCUGCCUGUUACAGCACAUUGCUGUCCAUCGACGCAAACGGCGCCACGUCGAAAAACUCUAAGCUUACUCCACGAAGGAGGCUGUUGAUCCAGUGGAUCAGGAGGAUGGAGUGUCGCGGUCUUUGGUGUCUGGAUUAGUCUCUUCAGGGCUCCGUUCGUCCGGUUGAUCGCUGGGAUCCGAGAGAGGUAGACCUUGGUCCUGAUCCCGCAGGAGUGGAACCCCACUUUCGGUCCUCGCCAUCGAAUCCCCCAGCUGUCUACCCU